Molecule: long non-coding RNA, 8813 nt
Organism: Melospiza georgiana
Lineage: Eukaryota; Metazoa; Chordata; Aves; Passeriformes; Passerellidae
Exons: 3
Source: RefSeq, a predicted model, not a curated record
CAGCUCCUUUCCUUCAGAUCCUUUGCACUGAUGGUUUUGUAGGAUAGCAGCUUUGUUCCCCAUCAAAUAACCCCUCAGAUUCUUUCCUCCCCCAAAUUUGUUUACAUUUUUUGCAGAUUGGUGAUUCCUUUUCCAUCAGUCUGUACCUGUGUUCAGGUACUGCUCCUCCCAUUUAUUUUAACAGGUGACCCAAUCCCAGUCUGGGGCACUUCCCAUCCUGAAAAAGGUCAAGCCACAAACACCAGAAAUAAUUAUUUUGCUUUUUAAGUAACAUGGAAAAAGAGGGAGAAUAAGAGAGGAACUAAUUCCCUACUCGGUUUUAAGACAGCAAGAAUUUAAGUCAAUUUAGCUCCUUGUGCUAAUUAAUACUCCCAAAGAGCUGUAAAAUGUAACAACAGGGAGGAUGAAUUAUUUAAAGUGGAGGUGACCAAGAGAAAUCUGGAUGAACACGAUAAUGCCUCUACUUUUCAUUUUCAGGCAAUAAAUUGCAUUAAAAAUGGUGGCAAUGUAUUGAAGAUUUUGGUAAAACUUUGUUCUCAGCUGUAGGGAGUUGUGUUUCUGUAGAGAUUUCCUGUGGUGCAGGACAGGGAAGGCAGGGCAGGAAGGGUAAAUUAGGGAGAAAAUAAGAUUUUAAUCCCAAAGAGAUAGAAAUGCCUGGUUUAGUCCCUAACUCUGGAUUUCUAGAGAGAAAACAAAUGGUGGUAGUAGGAGUAGUAAUGCACUGAAUUUAUUUAUUCUGUAAAUCAAGAGCUGGGUAUUUUUCUUGCUCCUUUGUGAAGGAAAAUUAUAGAAAUCUUUUCAGUGCUUCAGGGGAUUGAUACAGGUUACAUUCCUGGCUUUCAGUCUAGUUUCUCCCUCACCAGCCUUUGGAAUUCAGUGGGGCUGAUGGAUUACAUCAUUUCAGGAAUUAGGCCCUAAAUUCUGAUGUCUACAAAACAUAAAAGAGCUUGCUUCAAUUGUGUAAAUUUUCCCCUCAACCUGCAAUAUAUUCCUUGAAGACAAUAGAAAAAAAAUUCAUAUAAAGUUGUCUCUUUAUUUGGAGGUACUUUAAUAUCAGAGGAGAUUUGCUUCCAGCUAAGAAAACAUUUGUUACAGAACUAAAAAUGUUUGAUAUGCUGCUGUAUUAGAUAAAGUUUGUUAGUUCACAGUGGCACAGUGCUGAUAAUUGAAGAACUCGCAGGAUUUUCAGCAGUAAAAGAUCCCCAGUGAGUGCUGAGCUCAGUGGGAAAAUGUGAUGUAUAAAUCUGCAGUGAGAGCAGAGGAACAGGAGGGGAGCAGCUCUGGGAGCCCCACACCACCACCAAAGGACGUUAAAGAGAAAUAAAAGGGAAGAGAUGAUAUCUUGGGGCAUAAAAGCUGUUUCCAAAGAAUUUUCUUGUUAAAUAUAAUGUUGGACAAGAGCCCACGGAAAUUCUCAACUCACUGGAGACUCCUGCUGUCGCUUGGCAUGGUCUGGUCUAGUGGAGGAAUCAGCCUCUAGCCCUGUCCUGGAAUACCAAAUUCCAUGAGGAGAAGUGGUCACAGGAGAUAAUGAGAGAGAUGGGGAAAGUCCAGGCAAGACAGCCAUGCCCAAAGUUGAUGGAUAAAUUGGUUUUGUGUGAUGGGAUGAGGCAUAUCAGCUUGUGAAGAACUGAUGGCUACGAUGAAGGUUUGUUAUAUCCCAGGUUAGCCAAACCUGGAUGAUCUCAGAAGGAAUGAUGCAGGUUUGUUAUAUCCUGAGUUAGCCAACCAUGGAUGAUCCCAGAAAGAAUGAUGAAGGUUUGUUAUAUCCUGAGUUAGCCAACCAUAGAUGAUCCCAGAAGGAAUGAUGAAGGUUUGUUAUAUCCUGAGUUAGCCAACCAUGGAUGAUCCCAGAAAGAAUGAUGAAGGUUUGUUUGUCACUAUAGGACAUGAAACAACACAAGCGCACACCGCUGUUCUCAAGGUGAAGAAAAGGGAAGUUUAUUUUCUGACUCCAACAUUUAUAGUUUUCCAAAAGUGACAGUGGAUUGGAGGGUGACAGUGCCACCUCUCCAAUGACACUGGGCAAACCAACAGUCCAUCAAAUUUCUCCUCCUCCAUAAAAGAAUGCAAAACAAUUAGUUAUUUACGGAAAGUGUGUGAGAAAGUUUGCUACAAGAAUGUAAACAUCAGAAGGCUUAGAAAAUCUUAAAAAAUCAGGGCGACAUUUGUUAUAUCCCGAGUUAGCCAACCCUGGAUGAUCCCAGAAGAAAUAAUGAAGGUUUGUUAUACCCCAAGUUGGCCAAACCUGGGCGAUUUCAGAAGGAAUGAUGAAGGUGAGCCUGGAAAGAGCCAGAGAGGGAACAGCAAAGCCACCAGAGGAAUGUGACAACAAACUCCAGAGAGCAAAGGCAGUGCCACAGAGUGGGAGGCUCGGGCACCUGUUGUGACAGCUGUGACUAAGCAUACAAUGACCAGAUCAGGGUGAAUAAUGAGACAAUCUGCUCAUUUAAGAGUGGAUAUACAAACCCAGCAGGGACAUGAAACUGUUUUGCUUUGUUUUACUGAUAAUGUGUUAUUGGAGUCAUGUCUCUGGCUGUGUCCUAGAGUGGGUUCAAAACAAUUACUUACAUAACACAGGAUAUAUUUAAGUCAGGCAAAAGCAGGGAGGGAGAAAUGUGUGUAUCUCAAUUUCUGGUUAAGAAGGAAAAUGAAAUUAUGUUUUUCCCAAUAGAUUUAUUGAUUCCUCUUUUUCCAGCACAGGAAUCUCCAUCUCAAGGGAUGGAUCCCCCUUGCAAAACUUGAGCUGCAAAGUAAUCAAUGAACAAGACUAAGACCUGUAUCCCCCCCCUUUUCAGCUGCUGGUUCCUACCCUAACAACCAUUAAUUAUUCUAAUAGCAAACUCCUUAAAAAUAACUCAAUCAAUGCAUUAUCCAGAAGUUGGAGCCCAUCUCUGGAUGCCUCCAGCCUGGUCCAUGGUGGCCAGACAAUAUUUGGUGCAAGCCCUGAAGUGCUUUUCUCUUGUAGUGCUCUGCUUUAGGAUGGUCAAGUGUCCUAUGGAUCAACUUUGGGGUUAGUUUUGAGGUGGCAAAUGUGCUGCUUUCACAAAAUUUCUUCGAUAGGUGAAAGAAAAUUGUGUUUGCUGCUCACAGAGCAGAAUAACAAACAGGGAAAACAAAAGGAAAAAUUAAGCUCCCAAAGCCAAGAAACAGCAGAGUCCAGGGCAGCUGCCCAUGCUGCAAACCUGAUUCACAAGUGAUGGCAUUCCAUGAAAUAGUGACCACCCCCGCUUUAAUUUCAAAUUAAAACCAUACUGAGAAACCUGGAAUGCAAAGACAAGAUUUGUGGGAUGUAAAUACUUGGUGGGUGCAGCCAACCAGCACAAAAUAUCUUUGGAGGGAGCUCAGUCCCUGCUGGAGUCCCUGUGCCUACAGAUCAUCGUGUACAGGGAGUAAUUACAGCAGGGUUUGUCAACUAAUUUGGUGGAGGGAUGAAUUCUUUUCUAUUAAUCAAUGUAGGGAAGCAUGAAGCACCUAUAAACCAUUCAUCUCACUUUAGCUUCUUGUUUACCUUUAAUUAGAGUUGCUCUGAUUUGAUUGGGGGAAAUGGAGGUACCUUGGAAUAGAGAGGUGUCAGCUGGGGCAUCUUGGACACCACUUCCUGCUGUGGGAUCCUCAGGGAAAUGGGCUGGCUAGAUUGGAUUUUUAUUUCCGAAAUGUGAACCAAUAAAUUGGUCACAGGGUAAGACCCCUAAAUCAGAGGCAAAUAAAAAGAUACAGUACCAGCACCUCACCAAUGAGAAGGAAGUUUGCAGCAGUGUGAAUUAAUUCAUUUUUCAUUUACACCUGCUGUGGGUCACCCCUCUUUUCUCAUUUUUCCCAUUCCUUUAUUCUUAUAUUUAUGCACAAGGAGGAUAUUUACUAGGAACAUUUCAUUUCUUUGUCUACAGUUGAAACAGAGUAAAACCAAUGUUUUUAUUAUGAUGAUUUUAUUUUAUUUUUUUCCCUUUUAAAAUUGUUUACCUUCUUCCCAGAGUUUCCAGGAGGAUUAUAGGUAAGCCUGUGACAUCUAUACAAAGUUAUGGGAUGUUUUAUAACUGAUGUGUUGUGUGCGAUGCAGAUAAAUGCAACUGCAAGCAUAGGAAGUCCCAGCGGGUCACUCACAUUUCAUUUCAUUUUAGCUUGACUUUAAAUCAGUGAUAUUUAAUAUUUUUUUAUAAGAGAACUCUUAAAAAUGCUUUGAUAAAAUGAAAAGUCCUGGUUAAGCCUUGGAGUCCUACACGGCAGUGUGGAAAACUGCAGCUUCACUAAAAACCAUGCAGUAAAUGUGCCAUUCCUUGGUGCAUGCUUAUUAUGGGUAAAUAUUGUUCUCUGGGUAGUGCCUGGAAAUUGUAAUUAAUUUCAAAUACUCCCUCUUUUUGUCCACAUAUGCAGAUUUCAAAUCUGUGCCUGCGCCAGUUUUGACACCGUGCAAUGAAGCAUCCGAGCUCUCAGAUGUCUGGCUCUUCCGAGUUGUGAAAUGAGAAAACAAACAAACCCAGCCAUUCCAGCCCUGUCAAUCUCCUUCUCAGUGGACAGAUGCCCUGGUGCCAGAAAAGCUUCAUCCCCUGAUCCCACACCUCUUGGCAGUGCCAAAAAAAAAGCCAGAGAUCUACUGGAUGCGAAAGCACGACGGUUCCUCACCCCAAAAAAUGGGAUUUAUGGAAAAAUGGGCCACACUGGAGCUCCUGGGUGAGGCUGUGUGGGGAAAUGUGUGCAGCCUCUUGUUCUGGCACUCCCAGAUCAUCCAUCUGACCUGCUCCUGGAGCAAGGUGCCUCUGGACAGUGAUGGAUUAACUGGAGAGGGUCCAGGUUUCUGGAAUGAGCGGGGCUAAGAAUUUGCCAAGGGCAUCAACAGCAGUUUUCCCAGGCUCCAGCACAAGGAUUAUGUAGUCAAUCCACAAAUGACUCAAAUCUUUGAAGGGAAGGGCAUGGUUAUCAGAGAGGCUUUGACGACAGCAAGGACGGGAGUGCUAUCUGCCUUUUUCCAUCAGAGAUCCCCAUUCCCUCUCAUUAACAUACCCAGGACAUCAGCACAGCCAUCGGCCCGAGGGAAUCGCUUCCAACUUUUAAGGGAAUAUUCACAAAACCUCGCCCCUGCGUUGUCUCAGACAGAUCAAACCAGAUUUGCCUCGUGUAAGGGUUCUCCAGUCCCACUGAAGAUGUGAUGUGAUGUGAAAGCUGCUGCUGCUGUAAGUGGGGAGAGGAGAUGCCUCUACCUGCUCCCUGCCAGUGCCCUGCAAUGAAAAAUGCUUUUGGAGCAACACUGGAAAUAAGCCAUCAAAAUAUCUGAUUAAACCUCUUAGGAAACUCUCACUAAUCACCUUCCCUGCUCUUGAUGGAAUGUAUUUAUGCAUUAUAAAUAUACUUACUAUGUGUGUGUGCUCCAUAAAUCACACCCAGCACUUGUAUGUGAUGUAUAAGCACAUUCUAUAGAACACACACAAAUACAGAUGCCAAGCUCCCACAGAGUUCAUCACUGGAAAGUGUUUGAAGGAUCUGAUCCUUAAUAUUUAAUGAGCAAGAUGCUAUUUCCUUCCUCAGCUUUUAUCUCUGGUUUGGCAUAGUCAUUAAAUUUGUUGUUUCCUUGCAGGAUUAUAUAAUUUAUGACCUAAUUUUAGACUUUUGUGUAACCGCGUUGAGACACUCGUGGCGUAUCCCGGUUUCUCCACACGGAGUGUUCCAGCACCAGCCACCAGCUCCAGCACGAAUUCUGUGAGCUGCCUGUCAGCAAGGAGUCACAGGCAUGAAAGGAAAACAGCCCAACAAUAUUCAGGCAGCAUUAGAAGAUUAGUUUGUGGUGGGUUUUGCCCUGCAAAAAAAUAUGAUUUAGCAGCGUUUCCAGAGCUGUCUGCAGUGCUGGCAGGAAUCCCCAGGUACAGGCAGCACCCAGCAACUCUUAUUGCUGAAAAUAUUUAAUUCUUGUGACUUUCAGGCUGCUCUGGGACAGCAGUGCAGGGAGGGGUGUCUGGAGGUGGGGAAGGAUGACACUCAGGACUUUAGAGCCACUGCCAGCCCUCACAUCUGGAAUUUCCUCCCAGCACCAGUCCAGCUGCUGGGCUGAUUUUUUGCUGCACAAGGUGCUGCUGGAUAACUCCAAAAUGAAUUCUUCUAAAGCUGCAGCCACAGUUUUUUUGGUGCUUUCUGUGUGUCCAGAGUAAUUGAGAGAUGCUGUAAAUAGUGCCAUGAGCUUCAGUUAUUCUGUCAAUUUAACUAUAUUGUUGAGACCAGUCUUUCAUCAAAUGUAAUAUAUUGGCUGUUGCAUUAAUGCACCUUGAGAGCACUUUAUCCUGGUGUUCCAUAGGGAAGUGGCUUGUGGCUGAGGAAGGAUUUGAUGUUUCCUUUGUGCCUGCAGUGCUGUUUGGAGGAGUUUUCCUCUUUUUCUAUCUUAUCCUGAAUAUCCAGAAUUGGGGUACUCAGAUUAGCAGCAGGAACAUAAGGGACACCCCUCUAACACAACUUUGUGUAGAGGGUAAGGAAGGAAAAAGAAUCCUCAUGAAAAGGGGACAUUAAUUCUUGGAUUAAACAAAAUUGGAGAUUUUGUCUCCUUGGCUUUAAUGGAGCAGUUCCAGGAAAGCAGGAGAGAAGAAAGUGUUUUCAGUAUCACAUAAUUAAAGAGUAAAAUCAUAAUUCCAAUUACCAUUGCAGGCACUUCUGGCCUUGGGAAACCUAUGCUAAUAUUUAUUAUUAUAUGAUUGACCUCUGAUUUCUUCAUCAUUUACAUACCAACCCUGAUAUUCUUAGUAACAUCCUUUAAAUCAUAGAAGCAGGUGUCAGCAGUGCAUGAUGAAGUCACAUCCUGCAGAUUUUUUAUUUACUUGGUCUGGUUUUUCCUUGUUAAAUAACAUUGUGAGAUGCAGAAUCUCACCUCCACGGGGCCUCUAGGGGUGUAUAUAAUCAUAGAAUGCAUUUUCUAUAAUCUCAAAAAAUGAGUCAAUCCUAUCAGAGGUACAAACAGUUUUACAAAGUCAGUAUUUCACUCCCAUCACUGCCUGACAUCAUCUUCCUCAUAGCACAAGAAAAUAUUUACUCGGCACUUUGAGAUGAAUUGUCACAAAGCCUUUGGAAUGGAAACUAAAAAGUGAGAAUUAAAAUGGAAUAACUUGGCUUAAUGAAUUUAGCCUAUUUUCUGUGUGCUGGAUUUAGAUGUCAGAUGAUUUCUUAUAAAGUUUGGGAUGGACAUGGGCACCUCCAGUCCCUGAUCUUCAGUGAGGUGCCUACACAUGGAUCACAGAGCUGCCCAGAAUACCCAAAGCUGGAAACUGAUCCUCUUCUCCAUCAUCUGAAUAUUUUCUUUGCGUAAGUGAACAUUUCUCUGGAUGAAUUAAGACACUGCAUUAAUUUUCCAAGUGCAGGUGAGGUGCCAAGGGCUGCCUGGGGCUUUUCACUGCCUUCAGCAGAGUUGAUAAAAUUGUAUUUAUCCACAAAGAGACUGAAUUUUAUUUUUCAGAUUGUUCUGGGGAUGAGUCAAAAAGUUUAAAUUCUCUGUCUCCCACAUCCACUGCUCAUCCUCCUGCUGCUGUUCACUUCCAGAGAGCACAGCCAGGGGCUUUUCAGCAUCUCCUUGGGAAAUAUUUCCCAUCUGUGGAGCUGGGGAAAGUGGCACCCACCCGGAGAGGGCUGUCCUUGAUCAUCCUUAUCCCUCAUCCAUCAUUUUUUUACUGAAAUUUGAUUCCUCUGAACUUACAUUGCCUUAAAGGGUUUACCUGGCUCAGCAGGUGACAGGAUUUGGGAUGUUCCAGACAGAUUUUGCAUCAUUUGGGACAAAUCGUUAAGGUUUGUCAGCUUUAUCCAGUUGUCAGGCAGGUGAGUGCUGUUCCUCUCUCUGGACGCGCAUCCCUACAAUCACCCUUUGAUUUCUGGAUAUCAGUGAUGGAGCAGGGUCAGAGCAGCCCCGGAUCCUGCUCCUGGGGGCUGUCAGUGUGCAAUAACCAGCAGCAGCCCCUGCAAUGACACAGCCGGGCACCAAACACCUGCAGGGGAGCUCCUCGGGCCAAAUUCCCCCCGGCUCCAAUCAGGAUUUUUCCGGAGCUGGGACCGCUCAGGGCGAUCCCGCUCCUGGCUCAAGAGGCUCUUCUAAUCGACUGCUGAGAGACUUAUUAGCAAUGUAAAAAGGAAUCGCGAGCAAGGAAAGUAUUCUUCCUGGCUGAAAUGCGCUUUGUAAAAUUAGUUUUGCUGACAGGAGUAAUUGGGUUAAACUCCUCCUGGCUGUGGGUGCUAUUUGUUGCCCCUUAUCUUACCCGAGCAAAGGGUACCAAACUCUUUGAACUUUGUAAAUAAUUGUUUCCAAAGUGCUGGAUUUUUUUUUUUCUCUCUCUAUAAAUUCUGUAGAGAAAAGCUGUUUUCUAAUCCUCUCUCUGCCAAUGCUUUUACAGCCUUUUCCCACUCUUGAUUUCUUUCCCCUCUUUAGAUUUGAAUAUUUCUUAGAUAUUAUAAAAAUCUCUUUUAAGGGGGAGUGCAGAGCUUUUGCUCAGAUUGGGAAAAUCAUUCCUAGAGCUUUAAGAAACUGGAGAGAGAGGGAAAAAAAAAUAUCAAAUAGAAGAACUUUAUUGUGCACUGUGGCAGAUGUUGGGCUGUGGUGUGAAUGUGUGUCCAGUGCAGGCUCCUGGAUUCAGUCUGGAUUUUUCUCACUCCAGAUUCCUGAAGGGUGAAGGGGUUGGACCUUUCAUUCCUUCUGAGCUGAACCAGAUCCGGGAUUUGCUCCUCCCUCCCCAGCCCCACCUUGACAUUGCUGUGUCCCUUCUGUGCUGAGGAGAUGGGCGUCUUUCUCUUGCAAACACAAUUUUUUCUCAGUUUUAUUUCACUUUUGCAUCCACAGUAAGAAACAUUAAUGC